UACGUAGGGGGCAAGCGUUGUCCGGAAUCAUUGGGCGUAAAGCGCGUGUAGGCGGUCCGGUAAGUCGGCUGUGAAGGUCCAGGGCUCAACCCUGGGAUGCCGGUCGAUACUGCCGGACUAGAGUUCGGAAGAGGCGAGUGGAAUUCCCGGUGUAGCGGUGAAAUGCGCAGAUAUCGGGAGGAACACCAAUGGCGAAGGCAGCUCGCUGGGACGUUACUGACGCUGAGACGCGAAAGCGUGGGGAGCAAACAGGAUUAGAUACCCUAGUAGU
Molecule: ribosomal RNA, 271 nt
Filed under: uncultured bacterium
Lineage: Bacteria
Description: partial 16S ribosomal RNA
Rfam family: Bacterial small subunit ribosomal RNA
Source: RNAcentral